Molecule: ribosomal RNA, 118 nt
Filed under: Nematostella vectensis (starlet sea anemone)
Lineage: Eukaryota; Metazoa; Cnidaria; Anthozoa; Actiniaria; Edwardsiidae
Source: RNAcentral
GUUUACGGCCAUACCACUGAGAAAGCACCAGUUUUCGUCCGAUCACAGAACUUAAAGUCAGUAGGGCACGGUUAGUAGUUGGAAGGGUGACCGCCUGGGAAUACGUGUGCUGUAGGCA